GCAAGUCGAACGAACUCUGGUAUUGAUUGGUGCUUGCAUCAUGAUUUACAUUUGAGUGAGUGGCGAACUGGUGAGUAACACGUGGGAAACCUGCCCAGAAGCGGGGGAUAACACCUGGAAACAGAUGCUAAUACCGCAUAACAACUUGGACCGCAUGGUCCGAGUUUGAAAGAUGGCUUCGGCUAUCACUUUUGGAUGGUCCCGCGGCGUAUUAGCUAGAUGGUGGGGUAACGGCUCACCAUGGCAAUGAUACGUAGCCGACCUGAGAGGGUAAUCGGCCACAUUGGGACUGAGACACGGCCCAAACUCCUACGGGAGGCAGCAGUAGGGAAUCUUCCACAAUGGACGAAAGUCUGAUGGAGCAACGCCGCGUGAGUGAAGAAGGGUUUCGGCUCGUAAAACUCUGUUGUUAAAGAAGAACAUAUCUGAGAGUAACUGUUCAGGUAUUGACGGUAUUUAACCAGAAAGCCACGGCUAACUACGUGCCAGCAGCCGCGGUAAUACGUAGGUGGCAAGCGUUGUCCGGAUUUAUUGGGCGUAAAGCGAGCGCAGGCGGUUUUUUAAGUCUGAUGUGAAAGCCUUCGGCUCAACCGAAGAAGUGCAUCGGAAACUGGGAAACUUGAGUGCAGAAGAGGACAGUGGAACUCCAUGUGUAGCGGUGAAAUGCGUAGAUAUAUGGAAGAACACCAGUGGCGAAGGCGGCUGUCUGGUCUGUAACUGACGCUGAGGCUCGAAAGUAUGGGUAGCAAACAGGAUUAGAUACCCUGGUAGUCCAUACCGUAAACGAUGAAUGCUAAGUGUUUGGAGGGUUUCCGCCCUUCAGUGCUGCAGCUAACGCAUUAAGCAUUCCGCCUGGGGAGUACGGCCGCAAGGCUGAAACUCAAAGGGAAGUUGACGG
Molecule: ribosomal RNA, 898 nt
Filed under: Lactiplantibacillus plantarum
Lineage: Bacteria; Bacillati; Bacillota; Bacilli; Lactobacillales; Lactobacillaceae
Description: bacterial SSU rRNA
Rfam family: Bacterial small subunit ribosomal RNA
Source: RNAcentral